AUUGAACGCUGGCGGCAGGCCUAACACAUGCAAGUCGAGCGGAUGAAGGGAGCUUGCUCCUGGAUUCAGCGGCGGACGGGUGAGUAAUGCCUAGGAAUCUGCCUGGUAGUGGGGGAUAACGUCCGGAAACGGGCGCUAAUACCGCAUACGUCCUGAGGGAGAAAGUGGGGGAUCUUCGGACCUCACGCUAUCAGAUGAGCCUAGGUCGGAUUAGCUAGUUGGUGGGGUAAAGGCCUACCAAGGCGACGAUCCGUAACUGGUCUGAGAGGAUGAUCAGUCACACUGGAACUGAGACACGGUCCCGACUCCUACGGGAGGCAGCAGUGGGGAAUAUUUGACACUGGGCGAAAGCCUGAUCCAGCCAUGCCGCGUGUGUGAAGAAGGUCUUCGGAUUGUAAAGCACUUUAAGUUGGGAGGAAGGGCAGUAAGUUAAUACCUUGCUGUUUUGACGUUACCAACAGAAUAAGCACCGGCUAACUUCGUG
Molecule: ribosomal RNA, 484 nt
Filed under: uncultured bacterium
Lineage: Bacteria
Description: partial 16S ribosomal RNA
Rfam family: Bacterial small subunit ribosomal RNA
Source: RNAcentral